UGAAUCCUUUUGAAUCUGGCUCAUUUCCUACUGGUAUACAGUCUAAGUCACAGACCAGGUAGUUUGAUGCUCAUCGCAUGGUAAGUGCUUUAGAAAUAUGAAAUGGCCAAAUAAAAGGAUUGCAAGAUAUUUCUCCUGCUUAUUCGGGUCAGUUUUAUUUCCUAACCUUGGAGACAUGACUGUUCUGGAAACAGAAUGUUGAAUUAAAUAGAAAGUGGAUACACAGUCCAGGAGUUCUGCCAUCUCAGAAAUAUAGACCUGAAGCUCUACUUUUAUGUCAAGUCCAGAGUCACCUGAAUGCUAUCCUCCAAGGAGCUCAGGACGGAUUUGAGUGCCAUGCAUGGGUCUUCUGGCCUCAUCUGUGACCGGUGUCACAGCACCUGGAAGAAGUCCUGUUCUUCUCCAAGCAGCUCCCUGCGGCUUGUCUUUAUUGCACUGUCAUGUGACAUCUCUCAUGUGACAUCCCUCAUGUCACAUCCCUCAACAUUUUAGAGGCUGCCUUUGCUGUGAAGGUCAAGGUCAGACUUAGAAUCUCCUGUCAGUCGGUUUGGUCCUGAUCCGUUGGAAGCUUGGCAGGAGAGUAGAGUUGAGAGCAAAGUCAGGAUUUCCUGUUGGGAAAGAAACGCCAAGGGGCGGGCAGAGAGAAAAAUACAAUGGCAAAGUAAAGCCACCUGUCAAAACCCCGGGGAGCAAAAAUUACAAACACAGAAAGGUGUCUCGGUGAAGAGAUUCACGGGAGAGCAAAACCAAAGCAAGCCUAUCUACCGCAGAAGACAGGCAGAGGAUCCCAAACACACAUCUACCUCCUGCUUAGGAGCCACACUCUGCCCAAGAGGCGUGGCCUUCUUGACCCCUCCAGAAAGAGUUUUGUGAGAGCUCUAGACAGAUGGAAAGCCUCACUUUGUGAUCAGGGAAGCCCUAUGGCACAAUUACAGUACCAAAGGCAGGCCUGGUGAACCAAUCGAAAAUUCCCUUCAGGCAACAUCAUUACAGCAUAAAAACCAGUACUGAAUCGACCCUACCCUGCCUUCCUCCCAAGCUCUGUGGUGCGCGCAGUCACUCUUUCCUCGGGAAGGCACUGAGUAGGUGUUCUGCAGGCACAUGGACUCUUUCACAUUGGAAAGCCACCUGCCUUCUGGUGCCCAGAGAAGCCAUGCUGCCUGCAGGAUGUGCUUUCGGCUGGGGUCCAGACACCCUGGCAGGUUUUCAGGGAUCUGUGCCACGUCUCUGCCAAAUGAACUCUUACAGCCAAGGACAGACACGCAGUCUGGUGCCCAGGAGCGUAGGGAAGAAACCUUGGUCUUGCUAGAAUCAAGAGUCUCAGUUUAUAUGCACCAAGGGUGAGGAACUGAAGGGUCAGUGUGGGUGUUUGCCCAGGAUGUACAUGUCUGUAAUCAAAGAUCUUGGGUUUACAGAAAGCAGUUUCACAUGUCUUGGGUCUGAGACAAUAUUUUGAAGAUUCACGGUGUAAUUAGAACAACAAAAUAGAUGCAGACUCCAGUCUAAAGGGGAAUGCUUGCAUCACCAGGGACAGGAGAAGGGUUCGAACUCUCCAGGCCUCCAGCUUCUGUGGGUCUAGCCUGAUUGAUAUGGGCAGGUAGGAACUACAAUUCAAAAGGCAAAGAUUGGCAAAUGUCCCCACUGUGUGCUGUACACGCCUACUCUAUGUAUGAAGUUUUUGUACCUUUAUUUAUCCCCUAGUUUCUAAGCCCCUAGUGUCUGUGCUUAUUCAUUUAUAGUCUUCUCUGUACUCAGAAGCUUCUUUGGGACUAUUUUAUUUUCUUGGUGUUGCUUGGCAUGGAGCCUGGGACAUCAUGUAUCCGAGGCAAACGCUCUACCAGGGUGCCCCAGCCUCUGCCCUUGUUUUUGGUUUCUUUGAAAUAGGUUGGGUCAUGUUGCCCAGGUAAUCUCAAACUCCUCCUAUGCCCAACCUCCCAAGUAACCCAGACCAUGGCUGUUCAACACAGUUGGCUGGCUUGAUGUUCUUCUAAUCAGUAAAACAAUAAAUGUAAUCUCAGAGACCAUGAAGCACAGCUCCUGGCCAUGUGCUGUGUAAAGGCUAGACACAAUGACAACAAGGGUGGUGUCUUGAGUUAAUGGGUGUCUUUUUGUCUGUCUUUGUCUUCCCUCCACCAUUAAGCAUUAUCUUUUCUCCUUUAACUAUAGACUCUUUAUCAUGCUCUACAUUAACUGAGAUGUGAGAUUUUGCUAUAUUUUCUCAUUUCAAUUCAGCAUGGAUAGGUGCCAGACAUUCACAUGGGUUUAGAAGUCAUGAAUCAUGGUUUGAAUCUGAAAUUUCCUUUACAAGCUCAUGUCUUGAAUACUUGUUUCCAAUGUUUGAAUGGUGGCACUAUUUUGGGGAGGUUGGGGGACCUUUUGGUGGUAGGACGUGGCUCACAGCAAUAGUCCAAUAGGGGCACAGCCCUUAAGUGUUACAGCCUGGUUUCUGGUUAUUUCCUCUCUGCUCCCUGUUCCACUGUGAUGUAAGCAGUCUAUGGCAGGCAUUGCUGCUUCUGGGAGCUGGGCUGCUUGGCCGUGUCUUCCUCUCCAUGAUGAGGACUCCCUAAAACUGUGAGCCAAAAUAAAUUCUCUCAGCCCUGU
This 2601-nucleotide long non-coding RNA is filed under the name Mus pahari (shrew mouse). RNAcentral describes it as "predicted gene 16291 (MGP_PahariEiJ_G0002746.1)". Lineage: Eukaryota; Metazoa; Chordata; Mammalia; Rodentia; Muridae. The record is from RNAcentral.